GUAGCUAUGUUCGGAAGAGAUAACCGCUGAAAGCAUCUAAGCGGGAAACUCGCCUUAAGAUGAGACUUCCCCGGGGACUUGAUCCCCUUGAAGGGUCGUUCGAGACCAGGACGUUGAUAGGUCGGGUGUGUAAGCGCAGUAAUGCGUUCAGCUAACCGAUACUAAUUGCCCGUACGGCUUGAUCCUAUAACA
Molecule: ribosomal RNA, 192 nt
Filed under: Burkholderia pseudomallei
Lineage: Bacteria; Pseudomonadati; Pseudomonadota; Betaproteobacteria; Burkholderiales; Burkholderiaceae
Description: partial 23S ribosomal RNA
Rfam family: Bacterial large subunit ribosomal RNA
Source: RNAcentral